Long non-coding RNA from Macaca mulatta (Rhesus monkey), 803 nucleotides. RefSeq lists it as uncharacterized. The record is from RefSeq and is a predicted model, not a curated record. Lineage: Eukaryota; Metazoa; Chordata; Mammalia; Primates; Cercopithecidae.
GUUUUGCCAUGUUGGCUAGGCUGGUCUCGAACUCUUGACCUCAGGUGAUCCAUCUGACUUGGCCUUCCAAAGUGGUAAGAUUUCAGGCAUGAGCCACCGCACCUAGCCACAAGAUUUCAUUUUAACUGGGCACAGGGGUGGGGGUUGCCAACUGUUUCAUUAAGUAGGAUGGUAAAAAAUAAUAAUAUCACCAGCACUACUCCCACCAUUCAGAAAAAACACUACCGAAGGUAACAAGAAAGGGCUGCCAUCAGAAAGAAGGGCAGCCAUGAAAUGAGUACAUUUGACUUUUAGAAUAAUUUACUAGAGUGACUACUGGAGUUGUAAACAACCACCACCACCACCACAACACAAAAUUUACCACCUUGUCCCCAUCCCUGUUUUUCUUAUUUUGCUUCAAACCAGACAUUGGAAGCCAUCGGACGCAUCCAACACACCCAUCUGACAAGUGGAAAGAUGAGCCCCAGAGAAAGCUGGGACUUGCCCAAGAUCUCACAGGAAAACCCAGGACUCACGUCUGUCCAGCCGCUCUGCAAAGCUUGCAGACGCUCCCUCCAUCCUGACCUGGGGGGAAAAUUGGACAGUCACGCACAGGCGGCCAUGUGAUGAUGAAGGCACAGUUUGGAGUCACACGUCUACAACACCAGGAACCAAUGCCAAGGAAACUGGCAGCCACCAGAGGUUGGAAGAUGCAAGGAAGGAUCCUCUCCUAGAGCAUUCAGAGAUAGCAGGGCCUGGCUGACCCCUGGAUUUUGGACUUCGGGCCUUUAGAACUGUGAGAGAAUAAAUUUCUGUUGUGUUGA